Non-coding RNA from Manis javanica (Malayan pangolin), 830 nucleotides. The record is from RefSeq and is a predicted model, not a curated record. Lineage: Eukaryota; Metazoa; Chordata; Mammalia; Pholidota; Manidae.
CGCUGCCAGUGACGAAUGAAUCGCCCUCCUACGCACGGACUACCUAGCCAAUUAGGCUAAGGUAGUGGAGACAGAAAGAGCGACUGGAGUUUACAAUAAAACUGAAGCGCUGCGAGCCUACUUGAGAAAAGUUCAUUAAAUGGAAAAUUGACCCAGUUCUCUGCACAUUCAUUAGAAGAGGUUCAGAGAAGCUGUUGCAGUCUUCCCAGAUUGGCUGAUGAGUUUGGAAGAGGGAUUCCAUGAGAUCAACCAAGGCUUUUGGCUUCUCUGAGUAUGACGAGGUGUUGUUUCCAAUUGAGGAGGCUCCUGGGGGUCUCCAGAAGAUUGGGAAGCUGAUUCAAUGAAGAUCAAGUUAUUAAGAAGUAUGAGGAAAGAAGCAGACUGUCCUGCAGUUAGCAGAUUGGUCCAGACGCCCUCACAACUCUCGUGGACACUACUAACCCUGUUGGGAUGAUCAACCUCUAACAUUUUCCUGUACUUAAUUUAAGCCUCCGGUUUCCAAGUCCCAGAAGCGAGCCUCCAGCUGGUCAAAUUUAAGUCACCUGCCAACACCUAACUGUUGAAUCAGGAGAGAUAAUUUCUUUCCUUUGGCUUCCUCAUAAAAGACAGCCUCCAAGAAUUUUUCUGCCCCGAUACUUAAAAUAAUAGUAAAGGGUUACUACUGGGGUGCUACCAGGGAGAGGGAAUUAAGAUGGGAAGACCAAAAAUGAAAAAGGGGCAAAAAUGAUCACUAAACUACUUCAAAAUUGAAAUAACCAGCAAUGGAGGAUUAAAGAAGUAAUUAUGUUCUGUCACAUCUACCUAAUAAAAUGCAAAUGAACAAUUAAAAA